Molecule: ribosomal RNA, 275 nt
Filed under: uncultured bacterium
Lineage: Bacteria
Description: partial 16S ribosomal RNA
Rfam family: Bacterial small subunit ribosomal RNA
Source: RNAcentral
CACACGUGUUACAAUGGGGGGUACAGAGGGCCGCUACCACGCGAGUGGAUGCCAAUCCCCAAAACCUCUCUCAGUUCGGACUGGAGUCUGCAACCCGACUCCACGAAGCUGGAUUCGCUAGUAAUCGCGUAUCAGCCACGGCGCGGUGAAUACGUUCCCGGGCCUUGUACACACCGCCCGUCAAGCCAUGGGAGCCGGGGGUACCUGAAGUGCGUAACCGCGAGGAGCGCCCUAGGGUAAAACUGGUGACUGGGGCUAAGUCGUAACAAGGUACC